Molecule: ribosomal RNA, 229 nt
Filed under: uncultured bacterium
Lineage: Bacteria
Description: partial 16S ribosomal RNA
Rfam family: Bacterial small subunit ribosomal RNA
Source: RNAcentral
UCCGUAGGCGGGCUAAUAAGUCAGGUGUGAAAUCCCACAGCUUAACUGUGGAACUGCCUUUGAUACUGUUAGUCUUGAGUUAUAUGGAAGUAGAUAGAAUGUGUAGUGUAGCGGUGAAAUGCAUAGAUAUUACACAGAAUACCGAUUGCGAAGGCAGUCUACUACGUAUAUACUGACGCUAAUGGACGAAAGCGUGGGGAGCGAACAGGAUUAGAUACCCUGGUAGUCC